ACAUGAUCACCCUGCACUGCAGCAAUACGUUUCUUUCUACUAAAACCCUAAAUUCAUCAUUUGAUCUCUCUUUCUAUUGUGUCACUGCUUUGCCCUAGCUAACUGCUGACAUUUUCUGGAUAUCUAUAAUAUUCUUUCAAUUAAGCCAUAACCCUUUUCUUGCCUUGUUCUAACAUGAAGACCAAUUGUAGAGUCCAAAAACACAUGCAUCUUCGAUCCCCUUGAAGUUGAUCAUUCCAUCUUCAACCUACAAACAAUGCAUUUAUUGACAUAGAGAUGGUGGAUAGGUACGUAUAUAUAUAGUUAUUUGACAAUAUAUAUAAAUUAAUACUCGUUACUGUAUUUCUGCCAACAUAACAACAUAAUAAUGCACCUUCUCAUUAUGUAUAACCUAGACCUUCGCUCCUUUGCUUUAAACAGCCAUCUUUUUCUGAUGUUUGAACGCUUUCUACUAUAACCUUUUGUUGUUGAUGAUGAUGAAGAACAACACUCACUCAUAAUGGCCAAAAUUGAAAUUUUAUGAAUUCACAGCAG
Molecule: unclassified non-coding RNA, 534 nt
Filed under: Hevea brasiliensis (rubber tree)
Lineage: Eukaryota; Viridiplantae; Streptophyta; Magnoliopsida; Malpighiales; Euphorbiaceae
Source: RNAcentral